This is a long non-coding RNA of Neoarius graeffei (lesser salmon catfish), 650 nucleotides long. RefSeq lists it as uncharacterized. The record is from RefSeq and is a predicted model, not a curated record. The transcript is spliced from 3 exons. Lineage: Eukaryota; Metazoa; Chordata; Actinopteri; Siluriformes; Ariidae.
UCUCUUUUGAGAGUGUAUUGACCUACAGUCAUUUUAACAUUACUGUACAGACAUGGAAAGUAAAUGGGAUCAGGUGCAUGCCCUCCUGACAGAAGGCACAUACCCCUCGGGGUAUGGAAAAAGUCAGAGGCAAAAUCUGAGGAGAUAUGCCUCCAAAUUCAGAGUAAGGGGUUAGUAUCACAAGUCUAUGAUGCAUGUUAUUUAGAAUACUGUAUGUGGCGAUAACGCAUUAUUAAAGUAAUGUAUCAUUAACAGAAAAAGAUCUCUGGUUUGGUAAUAAGAAGGUGGUGAAAAAGAGGGAGGAAGCCAGGAGACUUUUCAUGGAGUUCCAUUCCUCCCCCAUGGGAGGUCAUACUGGCAUCCUUAAAACAUGGGCAGCAAUCUCUUCCAGGUUCUACUGGACCGGGAUGUCUGUAGACAUAAAAAAUUGGAUCUUAGAAUGUGACAGAUGCCAAAAGGUUGGAAAACCAUUGACUGCAGUGGGGGAGUUGCAGCCGAUAAAGGUCUCUGGCGUGUGGGAUUUGAUUGGGAUCGACCUUACUGGACCACUUCCCAAAACUGUCAAUGGCUUUCAAUACAUUUUGACAGCUACUGAUUUUUUUUCCAAGUGGGUGGAAGCUUUUCCACUCAAGUCCAAAUCAGCUGCAGAA